GUUGGGAUCGGAGUCUGCAACUCGACUCCGUGAACGUGGAAUCGCUAGUAAUCGUGGAUCAGCCACGCCACGGUGAAUACGUUCCCGGGCCUUGUACACACCGCCCGUCACACCACGAAAGCCUGUUGUACCCGAAGCUGGUGAGCUAACCCGUAAGGGAGGCAGCUAUCUAAGGUAUGACCGGUGAUUGGGGUGAAGUCGUAACAAGGUAGCCGUAGGGGAACCUGCGGCUGGAUCACCUCCUUU
Molecule: ribosomal RNA, 246 nt
Filed under: bacterium
Lineage: Bacteria
Description: partial 16S ribosomal RNA
Rfam family: Bacterial small subunit ribosomal RNA
Source: RNAcentral